UGAACUUUCGAACUAACCCAA
RNAcentral lists this non-coding RNA (21 nucleotides) under Caenorhabditis elegans. Lineage: Eukaryota; Metazoa; Nematoda; Chromadorea; Rhabditida; Rhabditidae. The record is from RNAcentral.